UAUAUAAGGCGCGACUCCGGCGCCUGUUCUUUCUUUCGCUUCGUCGCGUGAGGAGGAGCUAUGGGACUAAACAUUACGCAAGUACUGCUGCAGUGCAAAAUGAACUCUGGUCAUAAAACAUCAAUGUAUUUAGAAGACUAUUUGAUGGAGAAGGAUGGAUCCUGAGUACAAAAGACUUGACAAAGAUGUAUUGGGAUAAAGAUUGGCAGCUGGAAUUCAGGCAACAAGAGGGAAGAAUUUAAUUCAAGACCUUCAGUUUUGGAUUGCAAAUUACAUCAAUGAUGUGAGAGUUCUUUAAGUGAAGACUGGAUCACCUUCAUGGGAAGAGGAAAGAGCUCUAAGAAGUCAAAUGAAGACAUGGUUUGAAGUGUUCCCCCAAAGAAAAUCAUACCCACAUGUGACAAAAUCAGCCUUAAGGAUCUGAGCACACUAGUUUGGGAGCUGGCACUACAAUUAUGGAAAAGCUUCAUUGGAAUUAAAGUUUAUGUGUGAUGAUGGAUCUUAAAUGUUUGAAUGUAGCAUUGAAUUCUAAUAAAAUACUGAAACUUUA
This is a non-coding RNA of Anolis sagrei ordinatus, 550 nucleotides long. Lineage: Eukaryota; Metazoa; Chordata; Lepidosauria; Squamata; Anolidae. The record is from RefSeq and is a predicted model, not a curated record.